This 640-nucleotide ribosomal RNA is filed under the name Papiliotrema laurentii. Its description in RNAcentral is "eukaryotic LSU rRNA". It matches the Rfam family "Eukaryotic large subunit ribosomal RNA", at positions 38 to 667 of the family's 3401-position model. The record is from RNAcentral. Lineage: Eukaryota; Fungi; Basidiomycota; Tremellomycetes; Tremellales; Rhynchogastremaceae.
GCAUAUCAAUAAGCGGAGGAAAAGAAACUAACAAGGAUUCCCCUAGUAACGGCGAGUGAACCGGGAAGAGCUCAAAUUUGAAAUCUGGCGUCCUCAGGGCGUCCGAGUUGUAAUCUAUAGAGGCGUUUUCCGUGCCGGACCGUGUCCAAGUUCCUUGGAACAGGAUAUCAAAGAGGGUGACAAUCCCGUACUUGACACGACGACCGGUGCUCUGUGAUACGUCUUCUACGAGUCGAGUUGUUUGGGAAUGCAGCUCAAAAUGGGUGGUGAGUUCCAUCUAAAGCUAAAUAUUGGCGAGAGACCGAUAGCGAACAAGUACCGUGAGGGAAAGAUGAAAAGCACUUUGGAAAGAGAGUUAAACAGUACGUGAAAUUGUUGAAAGGGAAACGAUUGAAGUCAGUCGUGACCGAGAGGCUCAGCCGGUUCUGCCGGUGUAUUCCCCUCGGUCGGGUCAACAUCAGUUUUGUCCGGUGGAUAAGGACGGUAGGAAGGUGGCACCCUCGGGUGUGUUAUAGCCUGCCGUCGCAUACAUCGGGUGAGACUGAGGAACGCAGCUCGCCUUUAUGGCCGGGGUUCGCCCACGUCCGAGCUUAGGAUGUUGACAUAAUGGCUUUAAACGACCCGUCUUGAAACACGGACC